AAUGAACGCUGGCGGCAUGCCUUACACAUGCAAGUCGAACGGCAGCAUGACCUAGCUUGCUAGGUUGAUGGCGAGUGGCGAACGGGUGAGUAAUGCAUCGGAACGUGCCUUUUAGUGGGGGAUAACGUAGCGAAAGUUACGCUAAUACCUCAUAUUCUCUGAGGAGGAAAGCAGGGGACCUUCGGGCCUUGCGCUAGAAGAGCGGCCGAUGUCGGAUUAGCUAGUUGGUGAGGUAAAGGCUCACCAAGGCAACGAUCCGUAGCGGGUCUGAGAGGAUGAUCCGCCACACUGGGACUGAGACACGGCCCAGACUCCUACGGGAGGCAGCAGUGGGGAAUGUUGGACAAUGGGCGCAAGCCUGAUCCAGCCAUGCCGCGUGAGUGAAGAAGGCCUUCGGGUUGUAAAGCUCUUUCGGCUGGGAAGAAAUCGCACCCUCUAAUACAGGGUGUGGAUGACGGUACCAGCAUAAGAAGCACCGGCUAACUACGUG
Molecule: ribosomal RNA, 490 nt
Filed under: uncultured bacterium
Lineage: Bacteria
Description: partial 16S ribosomal RNA
Rfam family: Bacterial small subunit ribosomal RNA
Source: RNAcentral